GAUGAACGCUGGCGGCGUGCCUAAUACAUGCAAGUCGAGCGAACAGACGAGGAGCUUGCUCCUCUGACGUUAGCGGCGGACGGGUGAGUAACACGUGGAUAACCUACCUAUAAGACUGGGAUAACUUCGGGAAACCGGAGCUAAUACCGGAUAAUAUAUUGAACCGCAUGGUUCAAUAGUGAAAGACGGUUUUGCUGUCACUUAUAGAUGGAUCCGCGCCGCAUUAGCUAGUUGGUAAGGUAACGGCUUACCAAGGCGACGAUGCGUAGCCGACCUGAGAGGGUGAUCGGCCACACUGGAACUGAGACACGGUCCAGACUCAUACGGGAGGCAGCAGUAGGGAAUCUUCCGCAAUGGGCGAAAGCCUGACGGAGCAACGCCGCGUGAGUGAUGAAGGUCUUCGGAUCGUAAAACUCUGUUAUUAGGGAAGAACAAAUGUGUAAGUAACUAUGCACGUCUUGACGGUACCUAAUCAGAAAGACACGACUAACUACGUG
Molecule: ribosomal RNA, 497 nt
Filed under: uncultured bacterium
Lineage: Bacteria
Description: partial 16S ribosomal RNA
Rfam family: Bacterial small subunit ribosomal RNA
Source: RNAcentral